UAUUGAAACACCAGUUCCCGUACGGUCACCGAAGUUAAGCAAUGUCGAGACCCGGUCAGUACCUAGAUGGGUAACCACUUGUGAAUACCAAGUGCUGUAAG
Molecule: ribosomal RNA, 101 nt
Filed under: Acanthosepion pharaonis
Lineage: Eukaryota; Metazoa; Mollusca; Cephalopoda; Sepiida; Sepiidae
Source: RNAcentral